This is a long non-coding RNA of Aegilops tauschii subsp. strangulata, 844 nucleotides long. RefSeq lists it as uncharacterized. Lineage: Eukaryota; Viridiplantae; Streptophyta; Magnoliopsida; Poales; Poaceae. The record is from RefSeq and is a predicted model, not a curated record.
UUUCUCUGGUCACUUCCCCACUGCCCCCUCACGUUUCUCCCCCAUUCCCCAUUCUCCCAUGGUCGCCAGCUCUCCCUGGCCAGGCCGCCACUCCCCUUCGUCCCCACUGCCGGCGCGAGGUUCGCAGCCCCUACUCUUCCUCCUCUUCAUGUUGAAUCCGGUCGCGGAAGUGGCCGAGGAGGUCCUUGAGCUCGGCAUGCUCUCGCCAUCGGAGGUGGAUGCGGAAGCGCGGGACUUGCACGCCCCUGCUCUACCCUGCUCCCUCUUCGAAUCCGGUCGCCGAAGUGCUCGAGGAGGCGCCCAGCGGCGCUGGUUGGAAGACGGCCGCCAACAUCCUCUUCAUGGUGACCCCCAAGCACAAGGAGUUCGGAGGAUGGUGAAGGCGGUGCAGCGAGCCGACGGCAUGUCCACAGUGAGGUGGUGAUGGAGGAACAACCACGCACUUGACGGAUUGGUGCAGGGCGGGGAGGACGCCGGCCAGGAAGAUAACGCUGCUGCCGGGCGGCGAGGUCGUCGUCCAGGAAGGCGACGGUGCUUCCGUGUGGCGAGGAGAUCAGCCUGGGGGUCUAUUCUUUUUUUAUGGGAUAUUUGUUUUUUUGUGUGGCCUGCGUGCUGCGUGAUAGUAGGGGAUGCGUGAUUGUAGGGGUUCUGGUUCAGCGCGGGUGGAGUCUGUUUUCCUCUCCGGUGGAGUAUGGUCAGUCAACUUAAAUUGUUAAGUGCACAUCACAGACAUUCGAGAUUAAGGCUAGCCGUUGGAUUGAGAUUAGUGGGCCUAAUCAUGCGAUGGUAGUGAGUCUGUGUAUGUUUUGUGGGGUGCAUUUAGUAAAGUUUAUGUUUGCUUUUU